This 609-nucleotide ribosomal RNA is filed under the name uncultured bacterium. Its description in RNAcentral is "bacterial SSU rRNA". It matches the Rfam family "Bacterial small subunit ribosomal RNA", at positions 888 to 1498 of the family's 1533-position model. The record is from RNAcentral.
GCAAGAUUAAAACUCAAAGGAAUAGACGGGGACCCGCACAAGCGGGGGGAGCAUGUGGUUUAUUUCGACGAUACGCGAAGAACCUUACCUGGCCUUGACAUAGACAGAAUUUCCCAGAGACGGAGAAGUGCUAGUUUACUAGAACUGUCAUACAGGUGCUGCACGCCGGUCGUCAGCUCGUGUCGUGAGAUGUUGGGUUAAGUCCCGCAACGAGCGCAACCCUCGUGUUUAGUUACUAACAGUUCGGCUGAGGACUCUAAACAGACUGCCUGGGUAACCAGGAGGAAGGUGAGGACGACGUCAAGUCAUCAUGGCCCUUACGGCCAGGGCUACACACGUGCUACAAUGGGGUAUACAAAGAGCUGCAAUACGGUGACGUGGAGCAAAUCUCAUAAAAUAUCUCCCAGUUCGGAUUGAAGUCUGCAACUCGACUUCAUGAAGUUGGAAUCGCUAGUAAUCGUAGAUCAGCAAUGCUACGGUGAAUACGUUCCCGGGUCUUGUACUCACCGCCCGUCACACCAUGGGAAUUGAAUUCAUUCGAAGCGGGGAUGCUAAAAUAGCUACCUUCCACAGUGGAUUUAGUAACUAGGGUGAAGUCGUAACAAGGUA